GCCUGCUGCAUCUUUUUCACAGCUCGAGAUCCACCGAUGCCGCACUGGCACGCCUCUUUGCGGGCUCUCUACCUCCACUUACGUGUUGUCUUUACCACCGAUCAAGCACUCUCCCCUGCGCUCCUCUGUUCCUGCGUGCGUGUGUGAGUGUGCGUGUGUGCUCGCACGUUCCCCUUCUCUGCUCGUACCCCUAGCUUUCCAACGGAGACCGAGGUACCCUUCUCACGAGGACGCACUGUGGACUUUGUGCAAGCGCGCCUUUGAUGUUCGCUUUUCGAUAUCUAUUUUGAUGUGAAGGAAAGAGGGGGGGAGGAUGGACGCAAAACAAUGUGGUGGUGCGGAAGGAGUCAACGUACUCUCCGCCAUCCACGCGAUAUCCUUCACCAGCCAUUGAUGCUCUCCUUAUCCCCUGUUGUGUUCUUCCGCUCAUGCUCGAUGUCGAGGGAUCGAGUCAUCCUAGAUGUUUCGCCUCUCCCGUACCCCUCUCCCCCCCACCCGCCUUCUUGCGUACCCACCACGACGGGGGAGAUCCCCUCUUGAGGUGAAGAACAAGGAAUGAGGGGAGGGUGAUACGUAGGUCUACCUACUCGCGGGUGGUGUUAUCCGAUGAUGCCUUGAAAACAACAGAACUCUCAUGGGCCGCUUUGGCAGCGCUGUGCAGUAUCGAGAGGGCCAGUGGGGAGGAGGAUACCAGAUUGGUGGACUUCUCCACGGAAACAGGAAGCUCGCCAGAUGCGAGGACGAGUUUGGAGCCAUGCAGUCGAAUGCGUUGUGCUUCUCGUUUCACAUUACUCUCUUUCUCCCCCAUGUAUCUCUCUGCGCGUUGAACUCCGCCAGGCGCGCAAUCCGUUUGGGCACCAGCACUCUCGCCCACCGUCCCGGCCUGUUUUCUGAAUUCAUUGCCUCUGCGCGUGUUCAUCUCUCUUGCCUUUUUCCGCUCCGUUUUUCUCUUUUUGUUUCACUUUUUCAG
RNAcentral lists this unclassified non-coding RNA (970 nucleotides) under Leishmania donovani. RNAcentral's name for it is "gene:unknown". The record is from RNAcentral. Lineage: Eukaryota; Euglenozoa; Kinetoplastea; Trypanosomatida; Trypanosomatidae.